AUACCGAAAGGUAUGCUAAUACGAGAUGAUGUGCUUUUAUCGCAUGGUAGAAGUAUCAAAGCUCCGGCGGUACAGGAUGGACCCGCGUCUGAUUAGCUAGUUGGUGAGGUAACGGCUCACCAAGGCGACGAUCAGUAGCCGACCUGAGAGGGUGAUCGGCCACAUUGGAACUGAGACACGGUCCAAACUCCUACGGGAGGCAGCAGUGGGGAAUAUUGCACAAGGGGCGAAAGCCUGAUGCAGCAACGCCGCGUG
This 255-nucleotide ribosomal RNA is filed under the name uncultured bacterium. RNAcentral's name for it is "partial 16S ribosomal RNA". It matches the Rfam family "Bacterial small subunit ribosomal RNA", at positions 148 to 403 of the family's 1533-position model. The record is from RNAcentral.